CAUCCAAGGAAGGCAGCAGGCGCGCAAAUUACCCAAUCCCGAUACGGGGAGGUAGUGACAAUAAAUACUGAUACGGGGCUCUUUUGGGUCUCGUAAUUGGAAUGAGAACAAUUUAAAUCCCUUAACGAGGAUCAAUUGGAGGGCAAGUCUGGUGCCAGCAGCCGCGGUAAUUCCAGCUCCAAUAGCGUAUAUUAAAGUUGUUGCAGUUAAAAAGCUCGUAGUUGAACCUUGGGUCUGGCUGGCCGGUCCGCCUCACCGCGAGUACUGGUCCGGCUGGACCUUUCCUUCUGGGGAACCUCAUGGCCUUCACUGGCUGUGGGGGGAACCAGGACUUUUACUGUGAAAAAAUUAGAGUGUUCAAAGCAGGCCUUUGCUCGAAUACAUUAGCAUGGAAUAAUAGAAUAGGACGUGCGGUUCUAUUUUGUUGGUUUCUAGGACCGCCGUAAUGAUUAAUAGGGAUAGUCGGGGGCGUCAGUAUUCAGCUGUCAGAGGUGAAAUUCUUGGAUUUGCUGAAGACUAACUACUGCGAAAGCAUUCGCCAAGGAUGUUUUCAUUAAUCAGGGAACGAAAGUUAGGGGAUCGAAGACGAUCAGAUACCGUCGUAGUCUUAACCAUAAACUAUGCCGACUAGGGAUCGGACGGGCUUCUAUGAUGACCCGUUCGGCACCUUACGAGAAAUCAAAG
Molecule: ribosomal RNA, 684 nt
Filed under: uncultured fungus
Lineage: Eukaryota; Fungi
Description: SSU rRNA
Rfam family: Eukaryotic small subunit ribosomal RNA
Source: RNAcentral